Molecule: ribosomal RNA, 520 nt
Filed under: uncultured Glomus
Lineage: Eukaryota; Fungi; Glomeromycota; Glomeromycetes; Glomerales; Glomeraceae
Description: SSU rRNA
Rfam family: Eukaryotic small subunit ribosomal RNA
Source: RNAcentral
AGCAGCCGCGGUAAUUCCAGCUCCAAUAGCGUAUAUUAAAGUUGUUGCAGUUAAAAAGCUCGUAGUUGAAUUUCGGGACCAAUCUGCCGGUCGUGCCUCCGGUAUACACUGGUUUUAUUGGUUUCUCCCUUCUGACGAAUCAUGAUGUCAUUAAUUUGGUGUCAUGGGGAAUCAGAACUGUUACUUUGAAAAAAUUUAGAGUGUUUAAAGCAGGCUCACGCUUGAAUACAUUAGCAUGGAAUAAUGAAAUAGGACGUUUGACCCUAUUUUGUUGGUUUCUAGGAUCGACGUAAUGAUUAAUAGGGAUAGUUGGGGGCAUUAGUAUUCAAUUGUCAGAGGUGAAAUUCUUGGAUUUAUUGAAGACUAACUACUGCGAAAGCAUUUGCCAAGGAUGUUUUCAUUAAUCAAGAACGAAAGUUAGGGGAUCGAAGACGAUCAGAUACCGUCGUAGUCUUAACCAUAAACUAUGCCGACUAGGGAUCGGAUGAUGUUAAUUUUUUAAUGACUCAUUCGGCGCCUU